UAGUUUUGGAAAUAAAACA
Molecule: microRNA, 19 nt
Filed under: Schistosoma mansoni
Lineage: Eukaryota; Metazoa; Platyhelminthes; Trematoda; Strigeidida; Schistosomatidae
Description: sma-miR-8433-5p
Source: miRBase by way of RNAcentral